Molecule: ribosomal RNA, 216 nt
Filed under: Glomeromycotina sp.
Lineage: Eukaryota; Fungi; Glomeromycota
Description: partial small subunit ribosomal RNA
Rfam family: Eukaryotic small subunit ribosomal RNA (bases 40-216)
Source: RNAcentral
GGGUCAGUAGGUUGGUCGUGCCACCGGUACGUACUGGUCUCACUGAUUCCUCCUUCCUGAAGAACCGUAAUGCCAUUAAUUUGGUGUUGCGGGGAAACAGGACUGUUACUUUGAAAAAUUUAGGGUGUUUAAAGCAAGCUAACGCUUGAAUACAUUAGCAUGGAAUAAUGAAAUAGGACGAUCGAUCCUAUUUUGUUGGCUUCUAGGAUUGACGUA